Molecule: ribosomal RNA, 751 nt
Filed under: Xenoxylebora sphenos
Lineage: Eukaryota; Metazoa; Arthropoda; Insecta; Coleoptera; Curculionidae
Description: Xyleborus sphenos partial large subunit ribosomal RNA
Rfam family: Eukaryotic large subunit ribosomal RNA
Source: RNAcentral
AGAGUACGUGAAACCGUUUAGGGGUAAACCUGAGAAACCCGAAAGGUCGAAGGGAGAAAUUCAUUCGCGUUUCGACGUAGGCGUCGGGCGGGGUCGUGUGACGGGACACGUUCUUCGGAGCGAGUUUCGCGCCCUCCGUCCUUCGAACCGGCGACGAACGCGUGCACUUUUCUCCUGGUAGGACGUCGCGAUCCGUCGGGUGUCGGUCUACGACUUGCGGUGGAGACCGUCCGUCGUCUCGUACGUACGGACGGACCCGCUCGUUCCGGCCGACUCGCUCGACGGUAUACGUAAGGUCGGAGGCCGCUCGUUUUUUAGGAGCGUUCGACUCGUUGCAAGCGCGCCACGUGCGUCGGCACGCGGACCCAGUGCCGCGUCCGACCUCUGGUGACUGUUGGCGACGGUGUUCUCGGACAGACCUCUUUUUUUUUCAAAAGACCGAUCGGCGACGCUAUAGCUUUGGGUACUUUCAGGACCCGUCUUGAAACACGGACCAAGGAGUCUAGCAUGUACGCGAGUCAUUGGGAAUCACUAAACCUAAAGGCGCAAUGAAAGUGAAGGUCUUCCUCGCGAAGACCGAGGGAAGACGGACGGUUACAUUAAACCGCCCUAAAAAGUGGGACCGUCCUGCAUUCCCGGGGCGUCUCGUUCACAUCGCGUGAAGAGGCGCACCAAGAGCGUACACGCUGGGACCCGAAAGAUGGUGAACUAUGCCUGGUCAGGACGAAGUCAGGGGAAACCCUGAUGGAGG